Molecule: ribosomal RNA, 492 nt
Filed under: uncultured bacterium
Lineage: Bacteria
Description: partial 16S ribosomal RNA
Rfam family: Bacterial small subunit ribosomal RNA
Source: RNAcentral
AGUGAACGCUGGCGGUAGGCCUAACACAUGCAAGUCGAACGGCAGCACAGUAAGAGCUUGCUCUUACGGGUGGCGAGUGGCGGACGGGUGAGGAAUACAUCGGAAUCUACUUUUUCGUGGGGGAUAACCUAGGGAAACUUACGCUAAUACCGCAUACGACCUACGGGUGAAAGCAUGGGAUCUUCGGACCUUGCGCGAUUGAAUGAGCCGAUGUCGGAUUAGCUAGUUGGCGGGGUAAAGGCCCACCAAGGCGACGAUCCGUAGCUGGUCUGAGAGGAUGAUCAGCCACACUGGAACUGAGACACGGUCCAGACUCCUACGGGAGGCAGCAGUGGGGAAUAUUGGACAAUGGGCGCAAGCCUGAUCCAGCCAUACCGCGUGGGUGAAGAAGGCCUUCGGGUUGUAAAGCCCUUUUGUUGGGAAAGAAAAGCAGCAGGUUAAUACCCCGCUGUUCUGACGGUACCCAAAGAAUAAGCACCGGCUAACUUCGUG